GUCCACGCCGUAAACGAUGUCUACUAGUUGUUGGUGGAGUAAAUCCAUGAGUAACGCAGCUAACGCGUGAAGUAGACCGCCUGGGAGUACGGUCGCAAUAUUAAACUCAAAUGAAUUGACGGGGCCCGCACAAGCGGUGGAUUAUGUGGAUUAAUUCGAUGCAACGCGAAAACCUUACCUGGCCUUGACAUGUAACGAACUUUUCCAGAGAUGGAUUGGUGCUCGAAAGAGAGCGUUAACACAGGUGCUGCAUGGCUGUCGU
RNAcentral lists this ribosomal RNA (262 nucleotides) under uncultured bacterium. Its description in RNAcentral is "partial 16S ribosomal RNA". It matches the Rfam family "Bacterial small subunit ribosomal RNA", at positions 793 to 1055 of the family's 1533-position model. The record is from RNAcentral.